AAAGCGUGCGCAGGCGGUUAUGUAAGACAGAUGUGAAAUCCCCGGGCUCAACCUGGGAACUUCAUUUGUGACUGCAUGGCUAGAGUACGGUAGAGGGGGAUGGAAUUCCGCGUGUAGCAGUGAAAUGCGUAGAUAUGCGGAGGAACACCGAUGGCGAAGGCAAUCCCCUGGACCUGUACUGACGCUCAUGCACGAAAGCGUGGGGAGCAAACAGGAUUAGAUACCCCAGU
This 230-nucleotide ribosomal RNA is filed under the name uncultured bacterium. Its description in RNAcentral is "partial 16S ribosomal RNA". It matches the Rfam family "Bacterial small subunit ribosomal RNA", at positions 562 to 791 of the family's 1533-position model. The record is from RNAcentral.